Homo sapiens (human) is the source of this 171-nucleotide long non-coding RNA. RefSeq lists it as uncharacterized. NCBI's taxonomy places the organism in Eukaryota, Metazoa, Chordata, Mammalia, Primates, Hominidae. The transcript is spliced from 2 exons. The record is from RefSeq and is a predicted model, not a curated record.
AUAAAUUUUAGGGUGAUGGAUGCUUACUCAACUUUAAAUUCUGUUGGAGUCUCUUGUUUCCCCCCCUCACCCACCAUUUCAAGCAGGUAACUCAAACUUGGAAAUAACAUGACACUUUUGAGAUUCAUAUUUUAUUUACAAGUAAAUGAAGACUGUCCCUGUAAACUCUAA